AGCUCUAUGGUGUAAUGGUUAGCACUCUGGACUUUGAAUCCAGUGUUUGAAUGCAGUUA
RNAcentral lists this transfer RNA (59 nucleotides) under Alligator mississippiensis (American alligator). The record is from Rfam by way of RNAcentral. Lineage: Eukaryota; Metazoa; Chordata; Crocodylia; Alligatoridae.